UGUUUGAUAGCUCAUCGGGUAGAGCAGUUGACUGAGAAUCAAUUGGUAGUGGGUUCGAAUCCCACUCAAACAGCCA
RNAcentral lists this transfer RNA (76 nucleotides) under Hahella sp. CCB-MM4. RNAcentral's name for it is "tRNA-Leu". It matches the Rfam family "tRNA". Rfam says of the family: Transfer RNA (tRNA) molecules are approximately 80 nucleotides in length. Their secondary structure includes four short double-helical elements and three loops (D, anti-codon, and T loops). Further hydrogen bonds mediate the characteristic L-shaped molecular structure. tRNAs have two regions of fundamental functional importance: the anti-codon, which is responsible for specific mRNA codon recognition, and the 3' end, to which the tRNAs corresponding amino acid is attached (by aminoacyl-tRNA synthetases). tRNAs cope with the degeneracy of the genetic code in two manners: having more than one tRNA (with a specific anti-codon) for a particular amino acid; and 'wobble' base-pairing, i.e. permitting non-standard base-pairing at the 3rd anti-codon position. The record is from RNAcentral. Lineage: Bacteria; Pseudomonadati; Pseudomonadota; Gammaproteobacteria; Oceanospirillales; Hahellaceae.